CCUAACAAGCCACCGAUCCUGCGAUGUGAAAGUCAAUUCGCCUGAGCGGCAAAGGGAAAGAUGCCAGCAGAGAAAGUUGAGUGCCACAGAAAAGUCACAGCUUAUGUGGUGAAAAGGCUGCAUACCUUCUCAGAAGUUGAUGCACCGACAUUUACGGAUAUGAUCGAUUCUAUAAACCCCAGGUACACCCCCCCUACAAGGGACUACUUGGCACUCCCAUCCUGGUACCAGAUAGAAAAUUUCCAAUAUAAUCUGUAAGCUUAGUGAAGUCCACUACAUUGCCCUCACUUGUGAUGGCCUGACUAGCAUUGUUCAAUGCCCUACCUUACUGUCACAGCACACUAUUUAGUGGAGGGCAAAAUGAGGCAAAAAGUGCUCCAAACAAAACGUGUCUACACAGCCCAGACAGGACUUGUCGUGGCAGAGGAAAUUGGUGACAUCCCGACAGAGUUUGGCAUUUUUGACAAAGUGGUGGCCACCACAGUUGAUAAUGUGGCCAAUAUGGACUAGCCAUAAAAAAAGCCGCAAUUUGUGAAGCUAGGCUGCUUUGCUCAUACACUCAGUCUAGCUGCACAGUCUUUACUCACUGAUCGCAGUGACUCAGUGGAUGGUGAAGAUCUGUGGCAUCGUCGUGUGGACAAAGAGGUCGUCCAUGGCCAAGAUUGUUCUGCGGGAGAAGCAGGAUCCCUUCAUUUGACCCUGGUGCAUGGUAUCUAAUUAAAAGCUGCCUCAACACUCACUCAUUCUUGACGUGAGAGCUCGAUGUACUUCUCUCUACCUAAUGCUGGAGAGAUUCCUAAAACAAUACCCUGCAAUUCAAGCAGCCAGCUUGGAUCAACAGCUGAGAAAGCAUAUCGA
Long non-coding RNA from Thunnus maccoyii (southern bluefin tuna), 858 nucleotides. RefSeq lists it as uncharacterized. The transcript has 3 exons. Lineage: Eukaryota; Metazoa; Chordata; Actinopteri; Scombriformes; Scombridae. The record is from RefSeq and is a predicted model, not a curated record.